This 374-nucleotide long non-coding RNA is filed under the name Panicum hallii. RNAcentral describes it as "long non-coding RNA (PHAL_LNC000530)". The record is from RNAcentral. Lineage: Eukaryota; Viridiplantae; Streptophyta; Magnoliopsida; Poales; Poaceae.
GGAGUUCAACGCUCUAACCAGUCCAUGCAACUGUUAUUGGAUGACACAGCACUGAUGACCUUAUAAAUUCAACCUCUAAAGUAUCUGUGGUUUCUGUGAGCUGUUGAAUAGAUUGGAUAAGAACUUCAAUAAUACUUUGUUCUAAGAAGGUGCAUUCUUUGAACGGGGGUCGGGAGUUCAACGCUCUAACCAGUCCAUGCAACUGUUAUUGGAUGACACAGCACUGAUGACCUUAUAAAUUCAACCUCUAAAUUAUCUGUGGUUUCUGUAAGCUGUUGAAUAGAUUGGAUAAGAACUUCAAUAAUACUGAUGUAAUUUUAUAGCAUGUAAACACAUGGGCCAGCUCUGUAAUAAAUGUGUAACAGUGUGCUGCA